This 468-nucleotide ribosomal RNA is filed under the name uncultured bacterium. Its description in RNAcentral is "partial 16S ribosomal RNA". It matches the Rfam family "Bacterial small subunit ribosomal RNA", at positions 28 to 507 of the family's 1533-position model. The record is from RNAcentral.
GACGAACGCUGGCGGCGUGCUUAACACAUGCAAGUCGAACGGUAAGGCCCUUCCUUUGUGGGGUGCUCGAGUGGCGAACGGGUGAGUAACACGUGAGUAAACUAACCUUGACUUUGGGUUAACAUCACGGCACUGGGGCUAAUCCCGUAUAGGAGCUCCUGCUUCUUGGUGGGGGUUGGUCUGUUUCGGCGGUUGGUUCUGGAAUCGCGGCUGAUGCGAUCGAUGGUGGGGUAGUGGCUUACCAAGGCUUUGAAGGGUGGCAGGCCUGAGAGGCGGACCGGCCACAGUGGAACUGAGAUGCGGCCCAGACUCCUACGGGAGGGGGCAGUGGGGAGUAUUGCACAAGGGGCGGAGGCCUGAGGCGGCAACGCCGCGUGCGGUAGGACGGCCUUCUGGUUGGAAACCGCUGUCGCCUGUGACGAAGCGUGAGUGACGGUAAUGGGUAAAGAAGCACCGGCUAACUACGUG